This is a long non-coding RNA of Macaca mulatta (Rhesus monkey), 514 nucleotides long. RefSeq lists it as uncharacterized. Lineage: Eukaryota; Metazoa; Chordata; Mammalia; Primates; Cercopithecidae. The record is from RefSeq and is a predicted model, not a curated record.
AGGCCUUCUGAGAUUCCUUUGGCUCUUGAGAAGAAUUACAGAUGCUGCAGCAGUUUACCUCUUCCCUGCACCUGUGUCUCCAGGAGGACUGGGACACUAUGGUCUGAACCUCAAAUAUAAUGCCUGCUCACAUUGGGGACAGCAGCCUACUGAGUUCAGCAAUUUAAAUGUGAAUCUAAUCUGGAAACAUCCUGCUGAGGACUGAAUGUUUGUGUCCUCCCCACCCACAAAUUCAUAUGUGGAAAUCUAACCCACAAGGUGAUGGUAUGAAGAUAUGGAGUCUUUUGGGAGGUAAUUGAGUUAUGAAGGCUCUGCCAUCAUGAAUGGGAUUAGUGCACUUGUGAAAGAGGUUGCAGAGAGCUCAUUCACCCCUUCUACCAUGGGAGGACAGAGCAAGAAGGUAUCACCUAAGAGAAAGUGGAUCCUUACCAAGUGCCAAAUCUGCCAGCAUCUUGAUCUUGAACUUCCCAGCCUCCAGACUGUGAAAAAUAAAUUUCCAUUGUUUAUAAGUUGA